CGUGAGGGUGAUGAGUGGCACUAAUCAGCCGGGGUGUCCGCUGCAGUGGCAUCGACCCCCCGGCCCGAAUCCAACCUGAGGACACCCGCUGUGCACAGGGGCCAUCUGACCCACA
Molecule: small nucleolar RNA, 115 nt
Organism: Pleuronectes platessa (European plaice)
Lineage: Eukaryota; Metazoa; Chordata; Actinopteri; Pleuronectiformes; Pleuronectidae
Product: small nucleolar RNA SNORD67
Exons: 1
Source: RefSeq, a predicted model, not a curated record